This is a long non-coding RNA of Cucumis sativus (cucumber), 5221 nucleotides long. RefSeq lists it as uncharacterized. The transcript has 2 exons. Lineage: Eukaryota; Viridiplantae; Streptophyta; Magnoliopsida; Cucurbitales; Cucurbitaceae. The record is from RefSeq and is a predicted model, not a curated record.
AAAAAACAAUUUCCCCAAAUCUAAACCCUUAAUUUUUCCCCAACCCACCCUUAAUUUUUCUCAUUCCUCUUGUACUCGUCUUCUCCCCAAUCCGGUCAUCUUUCGUCGCCACCACCGCCCCCUCGUGCCCGUCCGUUCCGUCCGUUCAAAUCUCCUCCCUGUCGCCACCACCGCCCCGUCGCCACAACCUCCUCAAACUUUUCAAUUCGUACCUGUCCGUUCAAACCUCCUCCGUGUCGCCACCACCGCCCCAAAGCUCCGUAAUCACUUCAAACUUCAAACCGUGGUCAUCACCCAUUCGCCGAUAAGCUUCGCUUCCUUAUCUCUUUCUCUCUCUCUCUAUGAAGUUUUCUCCCUAAUUUGUUCCUGUGAUUAUUUUUAGAAUCAUGUGAGGACACUAUUGGCACACAUGGGUGGACGGUAGGGCCUUGGCUGCAUGUUGGACUGCUUGCAUGCUAACCUCUUAAGAGGUUUGUUGCGUGUGAUGAGCAUGCCCACGUGCUAACCUCACGCAUAGGCAUGUCACACGUCUCUCUUGGCCACAUGUUGGUGUCCCAUGCAUCUUGGGCAUAAAUCGUGCGUCUAACAUCAACCCAUGCUCAGAAUAACCUCUAUGACCUCAAAACACACACUCAUCUCACCUACACAUGUAAACCUCUCAGCCACUACCCAAAACACUUUUUAAUUCUAUUAUAAAGUUGCUCUAAAUUGUCUUAAAUAUGUUACCUCAAAUUUCGAAGGAAAGUUCCAAGUCAUAAAUCUUGUAGCGCUCUAAAAGUUCAAGUUGCUCAAAUUAUUCAAGAAAAUGACAUUCUCGCUUAACUAAAAUGUCAACACUUCUGAUUCUAAAAUGCACAUCAGCCUUCUCUCACAAACUAGAUUAAAUUUAUGAUCUUUUAAGCCAAAUUUGAGUAAUUUUGCACCAGUAAGUCCUAAGAAAUUCAUUGUUGAAGUUGGACUAUUUAUAGAGUUCCUUGCAUGAGAUUAAUAUGACAUUUAAUUUUUUAUUAGACUCGCCUCUUAAGCUUUUAUUUAGACCUUAGCAUCUCCUCCACAUCCUCUUUGGCCUCAAAAUGUAUGUUUGCAUGGUUAAGACACCUAGAUUAACUUUAAAUCACUUGCUUAAAACAUGCCACAUACUUGUCUUAAAUGCAUAGCUAACGUCCAAACCAUCUCACAUAGCCUUGCCUUAGCCACCUACUUUCCUUGUGUGCAUCCUUUUUUGCCUAGUCAAGUUUUUCCCACAUAACUAACUUCUCAUGGACAGUCUUCUACGCAUGCCACCCUCCUUCUCUCCUAUCAAGCCAAACAAAACUCUAAAUGCCUAAGAUUGGAGGUUAUCAAGCCUCAUCUUGUCGUCUGUUGACACAACUUUUGAGGUUCCUUAGCCUUUCUUCGAUACCCACAUAACCUCUAAACAACCAAAAUCAAAUCUUUUCACACUUCGUCAAAUUUCCAACUUUUCUUUUCCCCUUGAGCAUAAACAUUUCAUUCUUAAGCUUCCAAGUAUUUUAUUUUAUUUUUUUAUAAAUUUCAUUGUCUCCUAUCUUGACCAACUUAAUAAGUUCCAAGGAUAAUGAAAUUUUUAGGGUUCACAUUGAGAACUAUGUAUUUUCUUUUAUUAAAAUGUAUUAUAUAAGUGUUUUACGUUGGGUUUUAUGUCCUAAAACUUGUAGAUAGUAAAGGUAAUUUGUUGACCAUUAUUAAUAAAAUGUUAUUAGUAUUAUUUCAAUAAAUCGUUGUUGAUUAUAAUAUUAGUUUUUUCUUAAUAACCUAAAUCCAAUAAAUCAACAACCUAAGUUGUUUGAUGAGUCUUGAACAAUAUGUAGAGACAUAUAAGGAUUAAUGUUCGAGAUACAACUUAAAGGGUCUAUACUCUAGGGAUAAGUCUGGGUACCUUAUCCUAGUAACAAUAUGAAUAUGGAUCACUUUGUAUUUGAUACAAAUGUAAGGAUCCAACACGUUCGUGUAGGUGACACGCGGUGAGGAUAUCAUAUGCAAUGAGUUUGCAUAAGAUCAGACCACGAAAGAGUAACCAUUAGAUGUAACUCCAUUAAUGUUAAGUUUCUAUUUUAUUCGAAUAACCUAGGUAACAUAGUCUUAUUCCUUAGUGUAUUAUGAACUCAUGUUCGCUAGAGAUUGUCCUUUGAUUAGUAAGGGUGAGAGUGGCCAGUUUUUCAACUCAAUAUGUUUAUCAUUUUGAGGACACGACUGAGUGAGGAGAUGAAAAUAUAAUCACACAAAAUGGAAUUCACUCAUUCCCGAUUUUAGGGUAAGUAGAUGAGUAUCCCUAAAAUGGUGUCUUUAGGACUUGAAUAAAGGGUCCUACCCUCUCUAUGGCACGAGAGGGGUUUUUGUUUAUUGGUUGGACCAUAAACAUGUUGUUCAUUAGAGGAGCACUACUAUUUAAGAACUAGAAGUAAUCUAGGGAUAAAAGGGUAGUUUGACCCAUCAGAUGUUACGAACACUAGUGAAUGACUAAAUGUAUACCUCGAACCGUAAAGAACUAAGAUUUUUUUUAAGAGCUUGAAAGGGUUUUGAUUUUAAGUGAUGUUAACACAAGGAAGUAGACUUGAUAAGUGUGUUAUGAUGGGUAAAAUAAUGGAAGAUUAAGUGGUUGUUGUUUAAAAGUUAAGAAGAAAUUAAGUUAAAAGAGGAAAAAUUUUAGCUAAGUAUCAAAGAAUAGCACAUUUGGCAUCUUGGAGAUGUGUCUAAGCAUUAUGGGUUAGCUUGGCAAAAUAGCUAUAGUGGUUAGAAAGGGUUUUGGAUGUUUAAGGUUGGCGAGAAAGAAGGAACAUAAAGGUUAGGCGUUUUAACUAACUUCAGAUAGUAGUUUUUCACAACUCACUUUGGAAUUUUCAUUCAAAUUGGUCUUGAAAGUUCAAAAUUAUGUCUAUUUUUUUAAGGAAUGAUGCUUGGAAUUUUGGAUACAAGAAAGUUUGCAUUUUGGAUAAGGGAAGGCGAGAAGGUCAGUUCUCGAGUGAACCCGAGUAAGGUGCAGUCCCUGAAGGCUACAUAACUCAUCAUUUGGCGUUUUGCUCUAAAAUUUUGAGGUAAGAAAUUAACUCAUUUUACAGCAACUUUGUAGAAUGAAGUUUUAUCAAAAGAGCUAUGUAUUUUAAGUUAUAGUUUUUCUAAAUAGGGUUAUGUAGUCUUGGCGAGAAAUUAAGCGAGAUGGUCAUGUAGGCAAGCUUGCGUUUUGGACAACUACGUGACAUGAUUAAGGCAAUCGAUUCAAGAAGUAAGUGAAGUGUCAAAGCUUUGUUAGCAUAAAUUUUAAGGUGUAAAGUAAGUGUGAGGUGUCUUAAUAAGGUUUAAGGUGGCUUUAAGCAAGAAUGAGAUGUCAACUUGUACUCAUGCAAGGAACUCUAUAAAUAGGUCAACUUCAGUUUUGAAUUUCUCACAAUCCACUUGUGCGUUUUGAGUAAAACUCCCAAAAGUUUCCAUUUGGAGUCUAUUUUAUGUAUUAGGGUUGCUGGUUUAAUUUGAGUAAGGGAGGAUUGAGUUUGAGUUGAAGAAAGUAAGGAAUGUUAGCAUUUGGGUGAUUAUGGGCAAGGUGAACUUCCAGAGGAUUGUGGAGUUCAUCUGUUGAAAUUUGAAGCUGAAAUUUUGAGGUAAAAAUUUUAUGGAAGAAAGUAUUUUCAUUUGAGUUCUAGAUUUAUAAUUAUUAACCUCUAAAGUAGAGGUAAGGUUCUGGACGAAAAUGAGCUUCUAGGUAGUAGAGGUUAUUGACCGAGAGGUGGUCUACGUUAGGCGAGAUGGCGAGGUGUUUUGAGUUCAGUAAGGUUAGCAUGGCGUUUUGAAUUGGCUUGAACAUACAAGACGUGUAAGAUGUGCUGUCAGCCCUGCGCACGAAGAGGACGUGCGCAAGAGGCUACGCGAGACACUAGGCAUGCGACCAAGUGAGGUGCGCGGUGUGCCUGUGCGUGAUGUUAACACACGGGCAUGCUCAGCGCACAUGGUAAACCUCUUAUGAGGUUAGCGUGGGUAGUCUAGCACACGAGGCCAAUGCCUUAUCGCCCAUCCCUACGCGCGAGCCAUGUCAAAUGAGUGUCAUGGGGAUGUUUUGGGAAAUUUUAAGCAAAUUUAUGAUGUUUUCAUGAAUAAAGGGAAUUAAAUGGAUUUAUUUCCCGUUAUUUCAGAUAAAGAGGAGAUCAGGAAAUUUAUAAACCAAAGGUUUUAAGCUACUAUCUGUAAGUGAUAAAAUGAAUUUUAAUUUUAAUUAUGAGUUUAUUUAUCUAUCAAAUUUUUUAGGCAUGGUUUGAUGUAUGAAUUAUUUGACUUUUCUGAUUUAGUAAAAUAUUUCCAAAGCAUGAGAUUUGAAAUGAUUGUUAAAGAAUUAUUUUAGAAUGUUUUAGACUAUAUUGUUCAAUAUAUAUAUAUAUAUAUGAACCCUUCAGGGGUUUAUGGCCUAUGCACAGAGGUUCCUUUGAUAGAGGUAUUCAAUAGAUACCUAUGUAUGUUUAUCAUUGGGACAAAUUUAUGAGAAGAGGGUUCAACAGUUAUGAUAUCUGUAAGUUAUUCACCUCAUAGUAAUUAAGCUAUAACGAGAUGGAGCACUACUGAUGUCUGGAUUCUGCCUCGUAAAUAUCAUAUAACAAGAUGAGGAUCGUCAGAGGGUCCACCUUGUGUUUCAUAUGGUAUAGCAAGUAAAUUAAGUUAAUUAUGCUAAAUGUGUAGUUUAAAAGUAAAUUGUUUUGAAAAGUAUGUUUUAAUAAAACCAUCACUCACUGCGCUAUUUUAGCUCACUCUCUCCAAAUGCUUUUCUCACUUUCCAGGUAAAGGUCGUGAUCCAAGGACCUAACCGUUGUCUUCAGACUGCUGUGCGAAGUUGUUGAUAGUUUAGUUACUAAAGGUCAAUCUUACUUUAAACAUUAUCGUGUACAUGGUUUUGCAUAACGUUAAGCAUAGUUUAAUUUAUGUUUGGUCUGUAACUAUAGUUUUUAAUUAAUAGCAUCUAGCCUUGAAUAUUUGUUAAAUAUAUAUAGGUUUGUUAAGCUUGUUUCUCAUAGUUCUGUUGCAUAAGUUUUAAUUUACUUAAGUUGUUAAGCAUUGUAAAAUAUCAAUAAUCAAGGUCAACUGGUGUUAUUCAGAAGGGGAGCAAUGUCAGUUGGCUUCACGCCACGUCUCAGAGUGAGCGAGCAGGUACUUGGGGCGGAGUGUGACAUUAACUGUAAUGUAUGGUGAUAUAUUAUAAUAUAAAGUUUAUAUUUUAAUUAAA